This 497-nucleotide ribosomal RNA is filed under the name Gyrinops versteegii. Its description in RNAcentral is "eukaryotic LSU rRNA". The stretch from base 336 to 497 matches the Rfam family "Eukaryotic large subunit ribosomal RNA", at positions 1 to 162 of the family's 3401-position model. The record is from RNAcentral. Lineage: Eukaryota; Viridiplantae; Streptophyta; Magnoliopsida; Malvales; Thymelaeaceae.
AUGCGAUACUUGGUGUGAAUUGCAGAAUCCCGUGAACCAUCGAGUCUUUGAACGCAAGUUGCGCCCCAAGCCUUUGGGCCGAGGGCACGUCUGCCUGGGUGUCACGCACUGUAGCCCCCCACCCUCGUGGUAAUGUCUGUGAGGGCUGUGUGCGGCUGAUACUGGCCUUCCCGUAUGGACAGCAAUGCGGUUGGCCCAAAUGGAGGAACCCAGGGCGGUGUAUGCCAUGAUGAGCGGUGGUGUGUGCUUGGCCUGCCGUCGUUAGAGCAUCAUGUGCAUCAUGCCCCUUGAGGUGUGUUUCGUGGACAACCCCGAUGCAACCAUAGCGCGCAUCGCGACCCCAGGUCAGGCGGGAGCACCCGCUGAGUUUAAGCAUAUCAAUAAGCGGAGGAAAAGAAACUUACCAGGAUUCCCCUAGUAACGGCGAGCGAACCGGGAACAGCCCAGCUUGAAAAUCGGUCGCCCUCGGCGUUCGAAUUGUAGUCUGGAGAAGCGUC